AGUGAACGCUGGCGGUAGGCCUAACACAUGCAAGUCGAACGGCAGCACAGAGGAGCUUGCUCCUUGGGUGGCGAGUGGCGGACGGGUGAGGAAUACAUCGGAAUCUACUUUUUCGUGGGGGAUAACGUAGGGAAACUUACGCUAAUACCGCAUACGACCUACGGGUGAAAGCAGGGGACCUUCGGGCCUUGCGCGAUUGAAUGAGCCGAUGUCGGAUUAGCUAGUUGGCGGGGUAAAGGCCCACCAAGGCGACGAUCCGUAGCUGGUCUGAGAGGAUGAUCAGCCACACUGGAACUGAGACACGGUCCAGACUCCUACGGGAGGCAGCAGUGGGGAAUAUGGGACAAUGGGCGCAAGCCUGAUCCAGCCAUACCGCGUGGGUGAAGAAGGCCUUCGGGUUGUAAAGCCCUUUUGUUGGGAAAGAAAUCCAGCCGGCUAAUACCUGGUUGGGAUGACGGUACCCAAAGAAUAAGCACCGGCUAACUUCGUGCCAGCAGCCACCGCAG
RNAcentral lists this ribosomal RNA (506 nucleotides) under uncultured bacterium. RNAcentral's name for it is "partial 16S ribosomal RNA". It matches the Rfam family "Bacterial small subunit ribosomal RNA", at positions 29 to 523 of the family's 1533-position model. The record is from RNAcentral.